Molecule: ribosomal RNA, 639 nt
Filed under: uncultured Alphaproteobacteria bacterium
Lineage: Bacteria; Pseudomonadati; Pseudomonadota; Alphaproteobacteria
Description: bacterial SSU rRNA
Rfam family: Bacterial small subunit ribosomal RNA
Source: RNAcentral
AACGAACGNCUGGCGGCAUGCCUAAUACAUGCAAGUCGAACGAGAUCUUCGGAUCUAGUGGCGCACGGGUGCGUAACGCGUGGGAAUCUGCCCUUGGGUUCGGGAUAACGUCGGGAAACUGACGCUAAUACCGGAUGAUGACGAAAGUCCAAAGAUUUAUCGCCCAGGGAUGAGCCCGCGUAGGAUUAGCUAGUUGGUGGGGUAAAGGCUCACCAAGGCUACGAUCCUUAGCUGGUCUGAGAGGAUGAUCAGCCACACUGGGACUGAGACACGGCCCAGACUCCUACGGGAGGCAGCAGUAGGGAAUAUUGGACAAUGGGGGCAACCCUGAUCCAGCAAUGCCGCGUGAGUGAUGAAGGCCUUAGGGUUGUAAAGCUCUUUUACCCGAGAUGAUAAUGACAGUAUCGGGAGAAUAAGCUCCGGCUAACUCCGUGCCAGCAGCCGCGGUAAUACGGAGGGAGCUAGCGUUGUUCGGAAUUACUGGGCGUAAAGCGCACGUAGGCGGCGAUUUAAGUCAGAGGUGAAAGCCCGGGGCUCAACCCCGGAACUGCCUUUGAGACUGGAUUGCUAGAAUCUUGGAGAGGCGGGUGGAAUUCCGAGUGUAGAGGUGAAAUUCGUAGAUAUUCGGAAGAACACCAG